UACGGAGGAUGCAAGCGUUAUCCGGAUUUAUUGGGCAUAAAGCGUCCGCAGGUGGUUUUCCAAGUCUGCUGUUAAAGCGCGAGGCUUAACCUCGUACAGGCAGUGGAAACUGGAUGACUAGAGUAUGGUAGGGGUAGCGGGAAUUCCCAGUGUAGCGAUGAAAUGCGUAGAUAUUGGGAAGAACACCAGCGGCGAAAGCGCGCUACUGGGCCAUUACUGACACUCAUGGACGAAAGCUAGGGGAGCGAAAGGG
Molecule: ribosomal RNA, 253 nt
Filed under: uncultured bacterium
Lineage: Bacteria
Description: partial 16S ribosomal RNA
Rfam family: Bacterial small subunit ribosomal RNA
Source: RNAcentral